CCUACGGGUGGCAGCAGUGGGGAAUAUUGGACAAUGGGGGGAACCCUGAUCCAGCCAUGCCGCGUGUGUGAAGAAGGCCCUCGGGUUGUAAAGCACUUUCAGUGAGGAAGAACGCCUGGUGGUUAAUACCCAUCAGGAAAGACAUCACUCACAGAAGAAGCACCGGCUAACUCCGUGCCAGCAGCCGCGGUAAUACGGAGGGUGCGAGCGUUAAUCGGAAUUACUGGGGCGUAAAGCGCGCGUAGGUGGCUUGAUAAGCCGGUUGUGAAAGCCCCGGGCUCAACCUGGGAACGGCAUCCGGAACUGUCAAGCUAGAGUGCAGGAGAGGAAGGUAGAAUUCCCGGUGUAGCGGUGAAAUGCGUAGAGAUCGGGAGGAAUACCAGUGGCGAAGGCGGCCUUCUGGACUGACACUGACACUGAGGUGCGAAAGCGUGGGUAGCAAACAGGAUUAGAUACCCCGGUAGUC
RNAcentral lists this ribosomal RNA (466 nucleotides) under Vreelandella stevensii. RNAcentral describes it as "partial 16S ribosomal RNA". It matches the Rfam family "Bacterial small subunit ribosomal RNA", at positions 338 to 795 of the family's 1533-position model. The record is from RNAcentral. Lineage: Bacteria; Pseudomonadati; Pseudomonadota; Gammaproteobacteria; Oceanospirillales; Halomonadaceae.